AAUUUAGUCAUUUACUGUUUGCCCACGAGGCUCAAAAAUAUUACCAGAAAAAAAAAUACCCAUUUUAGAAAUACUAUUUAUAAAAGUAAUUUGGCGGGAUGCAUUUCUUAUUGUAUUGUCUUGUACCUUGAGGAAUUUGUUUUGGGUACCUAGAUGGGAUAGACAAUGAUAUCUAAUGACUUGGGAGGUGUAUUAUACCACCUUUUAUGUACAAUAUUGUUUUUUGGAUUUAACUUAUACUCAUAACUAAAUGCGG
This 256-nucleotide unclassified non-coding RNA is filed under the name Hevea brasiliensis (rubber tree). The record is from RNAcentral. Lineage: Eukaryota; Viridiplantae; Streptophyta; Magnoliopsida; Malpighiales; Euphorbiaceae.